Molecule: non-coding RNA, 800 nt
Organism: Drosophila kikkawai
Lineage: Eukaryota; Metazoa; Arthropoda; Insecta; Diptera; Drosophilidae
Source: RefSeq, a predicted model, not a curated record
CAAUACGAUAUUUUUUUAAAAAACAACAACUGUUGCAUUUUCAAUCGGAAUGGGCUGGAGGGCUAUCGAUAUAUCGAUAGAGGUAGGGUCGGUAGGAACAGGGGGAGGCAGGGAUUGGUGAGCGAACCGGGAAUAUCAAAAGUAAGAGAAAGGGUUUUUACCCUUUGCACUAGGCCGUUGCACUGAGCGCCCCAAGAUUACGGUAAGCCGAAAAUGGGGACUCGGACAACGGAGCCUAUAUAGGGAGACAGGAGACUGGAAGAGGGAAAGAUUAGCGGGACGUCAGCCGGCGCGUUAGCAUCUUAGAGAAAAAGUGAAAUCAAAAAUUUAAAAAAGAAAAAAAACCGUGGCCGUGACGAAAAACACGGGCCACGGGGUUUUUUUCUGUGUUGUUCUCUUGAUGUUGGUGCAUUCGCCGUCUCCGAGCCGUUCGGUGGAUUUUUAUCUGGGCGAGCCCCGCAUUUCCCGAGACACCUGUGAGACAUCCGGUCCCAGCACUCUUGUGCACAGCAGCGGCCGCCGGCACGAGCCACCAUCAGGCCAAACCGGGAGCAACCAACAAACCGACGGAAACUGGAGGACAGCGGUGAGUCCGUUCCGAUCAAAAUCGGCCGGCCCUAACCUAGGUGGUCGGCUAAUGUUCAUGCCGCUUGUAGGGCCUACAUUUUUUGCUGCUAGUCCUGGCCGAAUUCCGCUAGUCGCCAAUCCUGGGCUUCGUCUGCCCCAUUCUGGCCAUCGUCCUCAGUCGCCGGAAAAAUAUAUGAAAAAUAAAAUAAUAAUAUAUAAGUUAUUCGUUCUAA